CGGCUGCUUUCUCGGCAGCCAGACAACAUCGUCCCUUGGCUGCGGUGCCAAGGAGCUGUGCUUCCCAUCAUGAGAAAGAUGAUGCAGAGCCACCUUUCACGUGCUCUUCGGGGCGGAGCUCUCGAUGGUUUUUUCCACUUACAGGAAUGUGUCGGUCCAGCCCUGUGGUUGCUGACUUGGCGUUUAGGCUCUUGUCCUUCCGUAGAGAACCUUACCUUUUUUUUUUUUAGGUGUGCACCUGUCCUAUACACAGGCCAUGGGACCCAGUGACAGAGGACCCCACCCAGCUACGGAGGCUGCCUGGAUGGGUCACAAUGGAUAAAGGUUCUUGCAUUCACCUUUCUGGUCACUGGUUCCGACGCGAUGGUGUAGAUGGAUGAGCUGGGAGAGGAAGGUGUCCGAGAAGGGAUGAUAAGUCAUCACAGAUAACUUCAAGUGUGAAGGAGGAUGUGCGCAGGAUCGAUGCAAAUACUUCCCCACCUCCUAGAAGGGACUGGAGCAUCUGCAGAAUUCGGUAUCUGUGUGGGGCCCUGGAACCAACCCCCCAUGGAUUCAGAGGAACCGCUGUACUCAUUAAUCACAAACGAAGAAGCGAAGGGACUUUAUAGUGGAGACAUCUGGCAGACACCGCUUCAGUCAAAUAAUCAAAAUCAACAUCUCCAGGGAUGAAAGAAAGUGAAAUCUUGUGCCAGAUGAUGACACAUUACACAGUAUCACGUUGUGAUAUUCUGGCUCAUGAUACAAAACCUGAAUCCGAUGAUGAGGAAACACCAGGUUAAAGCCAGACUGUGGGACAUUUGAUAACACAACUAGGAUAUAACCUUUUAAAAUAUCAAGGACAUGAAAGUCAGGGAUCCUGUAAGGGACAUUAUUGGGCAAGCAACAAAACUUUAGCGGAAUCUCCGGAUUCAGAUUUUGGCUUUGUAGGAGAAUGUCUUUGUUCAUACGAAAUAUACACUAAAUUAUUCUCAUGUGUGGGAUUUCAUGUUGACAAAUCACUCUCAAGUAAUCCAUAUAAAUUUUUGUACAGUUCUUAAAGCUUUUCCUUAAUUUAAAA
Molecule: long non-coding RNA, 1057 nt
Organism: Ictidomys tridecemlineatus (thirteen-lined ground squirrel)
Lineage: Eukaryota; Metazoa; Chordata; Mammalia; Rodentia; Sciuridae
Source: RefSeq, a predicted model, not a curated record